Molecule: ribosomal RNA, 291 nt
Filed under: uncultured cyanobacterium
Lineage: Bacteria; Bacillati; Cyanobacteriota
Description: partial 16S ribosomal RNA
Rfam family: Bacterial small subunit ribosomal RNA
Source: RNAcentral
CUGGCUUUAGGUCUGGGACAACCACUGGAAACGGUGGCUAAUACCGGAUGUGCCCUUCGGGGUGAAAGGUUAACUGCCUGAAGAUGAGCUCGCGUCUGAUUAGCUAGUAGGUGUGGUAAAGGCGCACCUAGGCGACGAUCAGUAGCUGGUCUGAGAGGACGAUCAGCCACACUGGGACUGAGACACGGCCCAGACUCCUACGGGAGGCAGCAGUGGGGAAUUUUCCGCAAUGGGCGAAAGCCUGACGGAGCAAUACCGCGUGAGGGAGGAAGGCUCUUGGGCCGUAAACCU